AAAGGAAUUGACGGGGACCCGCACAAGCAGUGGAGUAUGUGGUUUAAUUCGAAGCAACGCGAAGAACCUUACCAGGUCUUGACAUCCCGAUGCAAACACUAGAGAUAGUGUCCUUCUUCGGAACAUUGGAGACAGGUGGUGCAUGGUUGUCGUCAGCUCGUGUCGUGAGAUGUUGGGUUAAGUCCCGCAACGAGCGCAACCCUUGAUCUUAGUUGCCAGCAAGUCAAGUUGGGCACUCUAAGGUGACUGCCGGUGACAAACCGGAGGAAGGUGGGGAUGACGUCAAAUCAUCAUGCCCCUUAUGACCUGGGCUACACACGUACUACAAUGGUUGGUACAACGGGAAGCGAAAGAGCGAUCUGGAGCGAAUCCUAUAAAAGCCAAUCUCAGUUCGGAUUGCAGGCUGCAACUCGCCUGCAUGAAGUCGGAAUUGCUAGUAAUCGCGGAUCAGCAUGCCGCGGUGAAUACGUUCCCGGGUCUUGUACACACCGCCCGU
Molecule: ribosomal RNA, 496 nt
Filed under: uncultured bacterium
Lineage: Bacteria
Description: bacterial SSU rRNA
Rfam family: Bacterial small subunit ribosomal RNA
Source: RNAcentral